GACCUUCCCGGGAAUGGCUGGGAAGAAGGGCCGAACGGGGUCAACUUG
Molecule: non-coding RNA, 48 nt
Submitted as: unclassified sequences
Source: Rfam